GAGAGGGGAAGACUUUCACUUGAAGAUGGGAGGUCGUCCGGAAGCCAUGCUCGGCUAAACGUCCAAUCUAGGGCUGGAUGAAGCCCUAGCAAUGUAUCAGGGCAAUUGUAGUUCUUACUUUUUUAUUAUUUUGGAGCUUAUUUAAAUUCUUAUUUUCAAUAAAAUAUUUCUUUAUGAUAUUUAAACUUUGAGCAUGCUAGUUACUAAUCAUAUUUGCUAAAGUAGUCUAAGAUGAUCCAUGCCUAGGAAGAUGAAGUGUGCUGCAUCCUAGAUUAACAUACUUAGGUAGACACUUCAUGCUACACCGAAGAUGGAUCUUCCUAACACUCUUUAUGAUUUUAUUUUAAAAUGCAUGUAGCCAAAUUGCAUGCCUCUCCAAAAGACAAAAAUUAAGAACACAGUCCUUGAUGCAAUGCUAUGUGGUGGAUUCCAAACCCUAGAUCUAUUUACUCUGAUAAAUUCUAAUUCACACUCA
RNAcentral lists this long non-coding RNA (475 nucleotides) under Phoenix dactylifera (date palm). RNAcentral's name for it is "long non-coding RNA (PDAC_LNC014030)". The record is from RNAcentral. Lineage: Eukaryota; Viridiplantae; Streptophyta; Magnoliopsida; Arecales; Arecaceae.